UAACCCUCGCCCAAGCGAUUUCAAAAGUCGUGGCCGGCGGACUUGGACUGUGCCGUAGUUGGCUCGUCCUGAAAUGCAUUAGCUUGCGCCAAUUAGAGUGCAUAUGGCAUGGUGUGAUAAUUAUCUGCGCCGUCGCCUCUGGCCUCUUAUGACUGCGCCGCUUACAGACGUCCACCCUGGACAACCAAUUUGAAG
This 195-nucleotide unclassified non-coding RNA is filed under the name uncultured Auriculariales. RNAcentral's name for it is "sequence contains ITS2". The record is from RNAcentral. Lineage: Eukaryota; Fungi; Basidiomycota; Agaricomycetes; Auriculariales.